Dioscorea cayenensis subsp. rotundata (Guinea yam) is the source of this 494-nucleotide long non-coding RNA. RefSeq lists it as uncharacterized. NCBI's taxonomy places the organism in Eukaryota, Viridiplantae, Streptophyta, Magnoliopsida, Dioscoreales, Dioscoreaceae. The transcript is spliced from 2 exons. The record is from RefSeq and is a predicted model, not a curated record.
GAGUAAUUUGUGCCCCUCACUCUCUCUCUCUCUCUCUCUCUCUCUCGUCGUCUCUCUUGUUUGGCCCUGGAGAAAGUUUAGGGUUUCGGCUUAGCAUUCAAGGUUGAGAUAAAAUGUUAUCACCUCAAGCAAUUGGUGGAAUUGGUGUUGCCAUCGCUAUGGGUGUUGUUGUCAUCUUCAACAAAAAACCCAACACUCAUAUUAAUUAUGAGUGGAAAAGGCAGGAACGUCCCGUUGUUGUUAAAUCAGUAACCCCAAGCACUGUCACAGUAGCAAUGAGCGCUACAACAACCGAUACCACUAUGGUCGUAGCAAACCCAACCGAUGCUAGUGUAACAAUCACCGUCAACCACUCUUCCCAUUAAUUUGACUUCAUGACUGUAUGAAAAUUAUGGAGUGCUGUAUUAUAUAUGCGUGUUAAUGUCAGUUCGGAUUUUGUUGUUUUUUGGAUUUUAUUCAAGAUUAGCUUCAAUUGAAUUUGCUCUUCUUUUUAA